RNAcentral lists this ribosomal RNA (259 nucleotides) under uncultured soil bacterium. RNAcentral describes it as "partial 16S ribosomal RNA". It matches the Rfam family "Bacterial small subunit ribosomal RNA", at positions 26 to 285 of the family's 1533-position model. The record is from RNAcentral.
AGGACGAACGCUGGCGGCGUGCUUAACACAUGCAAGUCGAACGGUGAUCUCGGUGCUUGCACCGGGUGAUCAGUGGCGAACGGGUGAGUAACACGUGAGUAACCUGCCCCCGACUCUGGGAUAACCCCGGGAAUCGGAGCUAAUACCGGAUACGAGACGCACAGGCAUCUGUAGCGUCUGGAAAGAAUUUCGGCGGGGAUGGACUCGCGGCCUAUCAGCUAGUUGGUGGGUAACGGCCCACCGAAGGCGACGACGGGUA